GAUGAACGCUAGCGGGAGGCCUAACACAUGCAAGCCGAGCGGUAUUGUUUCUUCGGAAAUGAGAGAGCGGCGUACGGGUGCGUAACACGUGUGCAACCUGCCUUUAUCUGGGGGAUAGCCUUUCGAAAGGAAGAUUAAUACUCCAUAAUAUAUUGAACGGCAUCGUUUAAUAUUGAAAGCUCCGGCGGAUAGAGAUGGGCACGCGCAAGAUUAGCUAGUUGGUGAGGUAACGGCUCACCAAGGCGAUGAUCUUUAGGGGGCCUGAGAGGGUGAUCCCCCACGCUGGUACUGAGACACGGACCAGACUCCUACGGGAGGCAGCAGUGAGGAAUAUUGGUCAAUGGGUGCAAGCCUGAACCAGCCAUCCCGCGUGAAGGACGACUGCCCUAUGGGUUGUAAACUUCUUUUGUAUAGGGAUAAACCUACCCUCGAGAGGGUAGCUGAAGGUACUAUACGAAUAAGCACCGGCUAACUCCGUG
This 479-nucleotide ribosomal RNA is filed under the name uncultured bacterium. Its description in RNAcentral is "partial 16S ribosomal RNA". It matches the Rfam family "Bacterial small subunit ribosomal RNA", at positions 28 to 507 of the family's 1533-position model. The record is from RNAcentral.